Long non-coding RNA from Austrofundulus limnaeus, 194 nucleotides. RefSeq lists it as uncharacterized. The transcript is spliced from 3 exons. The record is from RefSeq and is a predicted model, not a curated record. NCBI's taxonomy places the organism in Eukaryota, Metazoa, Chordata, Actinopteri, Cyprinodontiformes, Rivulidae.
GGCGUGCUUAUAAAACAUGUGAACGCCUGCGAAAGAAGUUUGGUCGGUUAUUAAGAAAAGUGCAGCUCACUUGCCAACAGAUUUGCACACAGUGACAACUGUGGACUGUCUUCUUCCAGAAGACUGCAGCAAAYCAACUGAACAAACUGGGAAUCAACAGGGAUUCAACGAUACAGUAUAAUAUGUCCUCCAAC